This 323-nucleotide ribosomal RNA is filed under the name uncultured bacterium. RNAcentral describes it as "bacterial SSU rRNA". It matches the Rfam family "Bacterial small subunit ribosomal RNA", at positions 1050 to 1378 of the family's 1533-position model. The record is from RNAcentral.
UGUCGUCAGCUCGUGUCGUGAGAUGUUGGGUUAAGUCCCGCAACGAGCGCAACCCUUACUGUUAGUUGCUACGCAAGAGCACUCUAGCAGGACUGCCGUUGACAAAACGGAGGAAGGUGGGGACGACGUCAAAUCAUCAUGCCCCUUAUGACCUGGGCUACACACGUACUACAAUGGCCGUUAACAGAGAGAAGCGAUACCGCGAGGUGGAGCGAACCUCAAAAAGCGGUCUCAGUUCGGAUUGCAGGCUGAAACCCGCCUGCAUGAAGUUGGAAUUGCUAGUAAUCGCGGAUCAUAAUGCCGCGGUGAAUACGUUCCCGGGA